CGGUAUCUGGCUCAGGACGAACGCUGGCGGCGUGCCUAAUACAUGCAAGUCGAACGGCUUUUCUAUGGAAGCUUGCUUCCACUGAGAAGAUAGUGGCGAACGGGUGAGUAACACGUGGGUAACCUGCCCAUAAGAGGGGGAUAACAUCCGGAAACGGGUGCUAAUACCGCAUAGUUUUCUUGAUCGCAUGAUCGGGAAAGGAAAGACGGCCUUUGUGCUGUCGCUUAUGGAUGGACCCGCGGCGUAUUAGUUAGUUGGUGAGGUAACGGCUCACCAAGACGAUGAUACGUAGCCGACCUGAGAGGGUGAUCGGCCACAUUGGGACUGAGACACGGCCCAAACUCCUACGGGAGGCAGCAGUAGGGAAUCUUCCGCAAUGGACGAAAGUCUGACGGAGCAACGCCGCGUGAGUGAAAGAAGGUUUUCGGAUCGUAAAACUCUGUUGUCAGAGAAGAACAAGUUGGAGAGUAACUGCUCCAGCCUUGACGGUAUCUGACCAGAAAGCCACGGCUAACUACGUGCCAGCCGCCGC
This 532-nucleotide ribosomal RNA is filed under the name uncultured bacterium. RNAcentral's name for it is "bacterial SSU rRNA". It matches the Rfam family "Bacterial small subunit ribosomal RNA", at positions 13 to 518 of the family's 1533-position model. The record is from RNAcentral.